Cajanus cajan (pigeon pea) is the source of this 615-nucleotide non-coding RNA. The record is from RefSeq and is a predicted model, not a curated record. NCBI's taxonomy places the organism in Eukaryota, Viridiplantae, Streptophyta, Magnoliopsida, Fabales, Fabaceae.
ACUCUGUCAUACUAUUUUUUGUAGGUAUUUCAUGUAUUGAGGCUGGGAGAAGGACAGGAUAUCACUGCUCUGGCUCUAAACAAGGAUAACACAAAUCUUUUGGUUUCUACUUCGGAUAAACAAUUGAUAAUAUUCACUGAUCCAGCUUUAAGCUUGAAAGUGGUGGAUCAAAUGCUCAAGCUUGGCUGGGAAGGUGAUGGGCUUCAGCCUCUAAUAAAAUCAUAGCUUUUAGGGUAUACAUUAAUGGGUUACAGAUCUUCUACACAUAUCAGUUAGGAAAAUUAGGUUGAGGUUAUGAUACAUUUGUAAGCAUUUUGAUUGAGAGAUGUCUUGUGGCAUAUGUAACAUCCUAUCAUUACCACUAGUGUUAGAUUCCUUAGAUUUAGCAGAGGGUUCUUCGCUACUCCAGUUGUGCUAUAGUGUUGAUAUUGGACAAGUUUUUGAGGUUUGAGCCUUUUUUGUCCCACAAUUUUUUUAUUAUAGAGAAUGGAAAUAUAAUAGGUAUUCUUUAUUGUAAUACUGCUGCUUUUCAGAUGUUGCGAUUGAUUGAGAUUUUGAGGUUUGAGUCGUCCAUGUUUGUUAAUAUAACCAAAUUUCAAUUGUUGUUUUUUUUAA